Schistosoma curassoni is the source of this 48-nucleotide non-coding RNA. Lineage: Eukaryota; Metazoa; Platyhelminthes; Trematoda; Strigeidida; Schistosomatidae. The record is from Rfam.
AUCCAGCCGAAGAGUCCCGAAUAGGACAAAACGCUGGUCAAACUGGAU